GAUACCCCAGGAGCAGCUGCCCCUGGGCUGCGGUGUCACAAAGACAGAAGUCACAAUGCAGAAACAGUGUCUCACGGGUGCAUUUGGCAAAGCCUGAGGAAGUGUCACCGGUCAUCUGCUCAGCGAGCGGGACACCUGAAAGCCCAGCUGGGGCAGCCUGCAGGGCGCCUUCACCCACUGCUGCUGCUCAGAGACAAUCAGGAUUGCCCUGGGACCAUCUCCCACUGUCCCACCAAGUGCAGCGGGACCUGGAGCUGGGCACAGGGGCCUUAGGAAUGGACAGGUGGUCUCCAGGAGCUUGGGGCGACAGUGCGGUGCUGAGCAGGGCUGAAAUAAUGCUGCCCCAUCUCUGAGGACCCCAUGCUGAUGGGAGGCCUAGGGUAUCCCAGGCUGAAUCAAGCGCUCCUGAUGGCUGUUGCGGUGCUGGCCGUUCCCCUGCGUGGCCUGAUAGACCUCUCCCAGCCUGCUGACCAUGUGUGCCACGCCCGACUUUAUAGGUCCCCCAGGACGAGCUCCGCCAGUGUCACCCCGCUGUGCCGCUGGACCGCCUCGUUCACACCUGCAGCCCUGACUCGGGAUCCCCGCGGCCAGCAGCCUCGCCCACGCCUGCGCCCGGUGUGUCUGACGGCACCUCCACUUCUCGCGUCCCGCGGAGCCUCACGUUUCCCUGCCUCAGGCCUUCCUCCGCAGGCUUCCGUCUCAGCCCUCCUUCCCUGGGUCCCACCUGGACUGCUCCCUUUCCCACAUGUCAUUCUCUCUGCCCCCCACAUGUACCCUGAAUCUGGGUACUUUUCUCCCUCUCCGGUGCCUUACUCUUAACCCAAGCCACUGUCAUCUCCACCUAGGCUCCUGGAGCAAUAGUAAAUAAUUACAAUAUUUAUUGGUUUACCAGGGACUCUGCUAAGCAUUUCAUCUGUAUCAGCCUGUUUAAUCCUCACCACAACCCUGUGAGCUGGACACUAUCUUUGCUUACAGAUAGGGAAACUGAGACACAGAGAGGUUAAGCGAUUUGCGCAAGCUCACACAGCUGUUAGGAGGAUGUUCCAGGAUUCAAACCCUGGCAGUUUGGCCCUGGUGACCCACAGAGUGCUGUCUGGCUUCUCAUGCAGGGCAGAGAAGGUCAGAGCUGGGCUCCUCCCAGGCACCUGUGGUGGAAGGAGGAAAGGGGAAAGAGACACGGUGGCCCAAGGGAUCUAGGAAGCAAAGUGGGAGUUGGGAAUCUGUGACCUUGGACUUAGUGUGGUUUCCUAUGGUGACAAGGACAGAAGUGGCAGAGGAGGUGGGGAAUGUAUGGCCAAGAUGGGCAGAGGGAAAGAUCACUGGACAGAGAGGACCUCAGUUCCAGAUCUUGUAGAUAAGCCCUGUUCCACAGACCUACCCUCUUCAGCCUCCUCUUGGGUCCAAAGACACCUUCAUCCUACGCUCUGUCUGCACCCAGUCCCAUCAGAUCAUGCUUGUCGCCUGCCCACUCACCUGCUUGUGCCCUGGGACAGCCUGUGUCUGCCACCUGUGGCUGUGUGCGUGUGCUCCGUGACAGUGCCUGCCCAAGUGCCUGGGGAGGCGCUGGUUGCCUGGGCUUCAUCUUAGGCCUCUCCUGGGGUGCAGAACCUGGAAGCAGGGUUGGGGGAGCCCCAGGGCUGCUGACGCCUGGAACCUGCUCCUGGAGAGACCCAGGAGCUCGGAGGGCGAUUCCCACAGACCCAGGGAAGGGAGGCCGCCAGGUAGGCUGGGACAGGAGGGAACGCUCCAUCCUUACUCUCCAAGCCAAUGUGCUGAAUUUUACUUUUCCUUUUAUUUAUUUCUUCUUCUUAAAUCCUGUUUCUCUCCCUGAGGCAUCUAAUCUAUUAUUUAACAUUGGAUUGUGCGAUUGAAACUCCCAGGCAAAUUGAAAAUUAUUUGUGUUUGAAG
RNAcentral lists this long non-coding RNA (1908 nucleotides) under Equus caballus (horse). RNAcentral's name for it is "lncRNA (ENSECAG00000027884.2)". Lineage: Eukaryota; Metazoa; Chordata; Mammalia; Perissodactyla; Equidae. The record is from RNAcentral.